UGUUGGUUAAGGUUGUGGCCUGCUUUUUGCUUUAUUUCUGAAUGGUCAUUAAUUCUUUAGGUCACCUGCCGAUGGUGAAGGUGCCUGAGGAGCCUGGUGUUACUCAGCACUGCUCUGCUGGGUGGGUGGAGCAGGGUUCUCAGUUGGUGCUUCACCUGCCUUGGCCUCUUUGCCAUCUUGUGAAGGAGCGUUAGGAGGACGCGGGCGACGCCGGUAAUUGUAGGGACGCCGGUAUCCACGGCGAACAGACGGCUGGUUUGGACCACUGGUGGCUUGCUGAUUUUCUUUAUCUUCAGCCUCUCCAACUGCUGGGGCAGGUCGUGGGCGAGGAGGUCCCCUGCUACGGUACCUUGGGCGGUAAGUUGGAUUUCGAUGAACCGGUCCCUGAAGUUGUGCUCCCUCUGGGACUCCAUCCUUCAUCUCUCCAAUCUCACCAGCCUGUAUUCUGUUGGGAUGGGGUAAGACCCGUGAGCGACGGUCAAAGGUCUGUCCCACGUGGUAAGGCGGGAACCGCCGCUGCCGGUACUGAGGGCGAUACUGGGGGCGGCGCAGCUGAUUCCGGGCCCCAGAGAACUGCCUAUCAGUGGCAGGGGGGUCAAAUCCUUCACUGCUGCCGCUCCCUUCCUCCUCCUCCUCCCCAGCGUAAUUCCGGGGAGGGCCACGGCGCCUUCCAUAGUAGCCACGUCUGUAACGGCGCCGAUCUGCAGCGUAACGACUCCCUUCCACAGGAACUCCAUCCGGGCCAGUCACAUUGGCAGCUUCUGCACCCUUCUCUCCUUCAACCACAUCAAACUCUACAGUUUCUCCAUCUCCUACACUGCGCAGAUAUUUCCGUGGGUUAUUCUUCUUGAUGGCAGUCUGAUGUACAAAUACAUCUUCUUUGGUGUCAUUUCGAUUUAUAAAUCCAUAUCCAUUUCUGACGUUGAACCAUUUGACAGUGCCAAGGACUUUGGUGGCGAGAACUUUUUUCUCCGCGUCUUCGCUGCCGGCGGCGGUGGCUAAAGAGGCGGCGGCCGCGGUGCCCGUGGCUGCGGGGGCCGCGUCCCCACCGGGGUUUCCUGCGACGUGGGCGGCGGGCGCCGGGGCCGCGGCCUGGGGCGCACCGCUGCCCACCGGGCUCUUGGGCGCGGGGUCCUGGGGAGCCGCGGCGGCCGCCUCCGUCGGAGCCUGCGGGAGGGUGGUGGUGGUGGUGGUGGUGGCCUCGCCCGCCUCACUCAUGCCUCCUCCUCCUCUGCUCUCGCUCAGGCGCCUCGGUGGCGGUUGGUCGGCGGUUAGCGCGGCUGGUGGUCGCGGCGGCCGGGGCUCGCUCUCGGGGAGGCCGGGGCGGAUCUCGCGGCGCAGGCGGCGGCGGCCGAGGUGGGGUCGCGCGGCGGAGGCGGCUCGAGCUUCGUGCUGCGCGCUCUCUCUUGGGCUCCUCGCUCGAUCUUACUGCCCCAAAAAUGGCC
Molecule: long non-coding RNA, 1445 nt
Filed under: Homo sapiens (human)
Lineage: Eukaryota; Metazoa; Chordata; Mammalia; Primates; Hominidae
Description: LNC_000808
Source: RNAcentral